RNAcentral lists this ribosomal RNA (500 nucleotides) under uncultured bacterium. Its description in RNAcentral is "partial 16S ribosomal RNA". It matches the Rfam family "Bacterial small subunit ribosomal RNA", at positions 30 to 523 of the family's 1533-position model. The record is from RNAcentral.
AUUGAACGCUGGCGGAAUGCUUUACACAUGCAAGUCGAACGGCAGCACGGACAUCGGUCUGGUGGCGAGUGGCGAACGGGUGAGUAAUGUAUCGGAACGUGCCCAGUCGAGGGGGAUAACGUAGUGAAAAUUACGCUAAUACCGCAUACGAUCUAUGGAUGAAAGCGGGGAAUCGCAAGACAUCGCGCGAUUGGAGCGGCCGAUAUCAGAUUAGGUAGUUGGUGGGGUAAAGGCCCACCAAGCCAACGCUCUGUAGCUGGUCUGAGAGGACGACCAGCCACACUGGAACUGAGACACGGUCCAGACUCCUACGGGAGGCAGCAGUGGGGAAUUUUGGACAAUGGGCGAAAGCCUGAUCCAGCCAUUCCGCGUGCAGGAUGAAGGCCCUCGGGUUGUAAACUGCUUUUGUACAGAACGAAAAGGUUUCUACUAAUACUAGGAGCUCAUGACGGUACUGUAAGAAUAAGCACCGGCUAACUACGUGCCAGCAGCCGCAGUAA